UACGUAGGGGGCUAGCGUUGUCCGGAAUCAUUGGGCGUAAAGCGCGCGCAGGCGGCUCGUCAAGCCUGACGUGAAAGCCUCCGGCUCAACCGGGGAGGGUCGUCGGGGACUGGCGGGCUUGAGGUCGGCAGGGGUUGGUGGAAUUCCCGGUGUAGUGGUGAAAUGCGUAGAGAUCGGGAGGGACACCGGUGGCGAAGGCGGCUUCCUGGACAACUACUGACGCUGAGACGCGAAAGCGUGGGGAGCAAACAGG
This 253-nucleotide ribosomal RNA is filed under the name uncultured bacterium. RNAcentral's name for it is "partial 16S ribosomal RNA". It matches the Rfam family "Bacterial small subunit ribosomal RNA", at positions 524 to 776 of the family's 1533-position model. The record is from RNAcentral.